Molecule: non-coding RNA, 232 nt
Filed under: Vibrio genomosp. F10
Lineage: Bacteria; Pseudomonadati; Pseudomonadota; Gammaproteobacteria; Vibrionales; Vibrionaceae
Description: Vibrio sp. F10 Bacterial small subunit ribosomal RNA
Rfam family: Bacterial small subunit ribosomal RNA
Source: Rfam by way of RNAcentral
GCCUAACACAUGCAAGUCGAGCGGAAACGACAACAUUGACCCUUCGGGUGAUUUGUUGGGCGUCGAGCGGCGGACGGGUGAGUAAUGCCUAGGAAGUUGCCCAGUAGAGGGGGGAUAACCAUUUGGAAACGAUGGCUAAUACCGCAUAACGUCUACGGACCAAAGAGGGGGACCUUCGGGCCUCUCGCUUCAGGAUAUGCCCAGGUGGGAUUAGCUAGUUGGUGAGGUAAUG